CCUACGGGAGGCAGCAGUGAGGAAUAUUGGUCAAUGGGCGUAAGCCUGAACCAGCCAAGUCGCGUGAGGGAUGAAGGUUCUAUGGAUCGUAAACCUCUUUUAUCAGGGAAUAAAGUGUGGGACGUGUCCUGUUUUGUAUGUACCUUAUGAAUAAGCAUCGGCUAACUCCGUGCCAGCAGCCGCGGUAAUACGGAGGAUCCGAGCGUUAUCCGGAUUUAUUGGGUUUAAAGGGUGCGUAGGCGGCCUUUUAAGUCAGCGGUGAAAGUCUGUGGCUUAACCAUGGAAUGGCCGUUGAAACUGGGGGGCUUGAGUAUGUUUGAGGCACGCGGAAGGCGUGGUGUAGCGGUGAAAUGCUUAGAUAUCACGCAGAACCCCGAUUGCGAAGGCAGCCUUCCGAGCCAUGACUGACGCUGAGGCACGAAAGCGUGGGGAUCGAACAGGAUUAGAUACCCGAGUAGUC
Molecule: ribosomal RNA, 460 nt
Filed under: uncultured bacterium
Lineage: Bacteria
Description: partial 16S ribosomal RNA
Rfam family: Bacterial small subunit ribosomal RNA
Source: RNAcentral